GCCGUUGUGGUGUAGUGGUAACAUAAAUCGUUGUGGCCGAUUUGCCGGUGGUUCGAUUCCACCCAACGGCA
Non-coding RNA from Nowakowskiella sp. JEL0407, 71 nucleotides. The record is from the annotation of a GenBank genome assembly. Lineage: Eukaryota; Fungi; Chytridiomycota; Chytridiomycetes; Cladochytriales; Nowakowskiellaceae.